This 432-nucleotide ribosomal RNA is filed under the name uncultured bacterium. RNAcentral describes it as "partial 16S ribosomal RNA". It matches the Rfam family "Bacterial small subunit ribosomal RNA", at positions 29 to 506 of the family's 1533-position model. The record is from RNAcentral.
AGCGAACGCUGGCGGCAGGCCUAACACAUGCAAGUCGAACGAACUCUUCGGAGUUAGUGGCGGACGGGUGAGUAACACGUGGGAACGUGCCUUUUGGUUCGGAAUAACUCAGGGAAACUUGUGCUAAUACCGAAUGUGCCCUUCGGGGGAAAGAUUUAUCGCCAUUAGAGCGGCCCGCGUCUGAUUAGCUAGUUGGUGAGGUAACGGCUCACCAAGGCGACGAUCAGUAGCUGGUCUGAGAGGAUGACCAGCCACACUGGGACUGAGACACGGCCCAGACUCCUACGGGAGGCAGCAGUGGGGAAUCUUGCGCAAUGGGCGAAAGCCUGACGCAGCCAUGCCGCGGGAAUGAUGAAGGUCUUAGGAUUGUAAAAUUCUUUCACCGGGGACGAUAAUGACGGUACCCGGAGAAGAAGCCCCGGCGAACUUCGU